Molecule: transfer RNA, 73 nt
Filed under: Canis lupus familiaris (dog)
Lineage: Eukaryota; Metazoa; Chordata; Mammalia; Carnivora; Canidae
Also listed under: 1 other name
Rfam family: tRNA
About the family: Transfer RNA (tRNA) molecules are approximately 80 nucleotides in length.
Source: Rfam by way of RNAcentral
GCCUCUUUGGCUCAGUCGGAAGAGUAUGGGACUUGUGAUCUCAAGGUAGUGGGUUCAAGCCCCACAUUGAGUG